This 465-nucleotide ribosomal RNA is filed under the name uncultured bacterium. RNAcentral's name for it is "partial 16S ribosomal RNA". It matches the Rfam family "Bacterial small subunit ribosomal RNA", at positions 28 to 507 of the family's 1533-position model. The record is from RNAcentral.
GACGAACGCUGGCGGCGUGCUUAACACAUGCAAGUCGAACGGAAAGGCCCUGCUUGCCGGGUACUCGAGUGGCGAACGGGUGAGUAACACGUGGGUGAUCUGCCCUGCACUUCGGGAUAAGCCUGGGAAACUGGGUCUAAUACCGGCUAGGAGCCAUUUUUAGUGUGAUGGUUGGAAAGUUUUGUCGGUGUAGGAUGAGCUCGCGGCCUAUCAGCUUGUUGGUGGGGUAAUGGCCUACCAAGGCGGCGACGGGUAGCCGGCCUGAGAGGGUGGCCGGCCACAUUGGGACUGAGGGACGGCCCAGGCUCCGACGGGAGGCAGCAGUGGGGAAGAUUGAACAAUGGGCGCAAGCCUGAUGCAGCGACGCCGCGUGGGGGAUGACGGUCUUCGGGUUGUAAACUCCUUUCGCUAGGGACGAAGCUUUUUGUGACGGUACCUAGAUAAGAAGCACCGGCUAACUACGUG